Molecule: ribosomal RNA, 468 nt
Filed under: uncultured bacterium
Lineage: Bacteria
Description: partial 16S ribosomal RNA
Rfam family: Bacterial small subunit ribosomal RNA
Source: RNAcentral
GACGAACGCUGGCGGCGUGCUUAACACAUGCAAGUCGAACGGAAAGGCCCUGCUUUUGUGGGGUGCUCGAGUGGCGAACGGGUGAGUAACACGUGAGUAACCUGCCCUUGACUUUGGGAUAACUUCAGGAAACUGGGGCUAAUACCGGAUAGGAGCUCCUGCUGCAUGGUGGGGGUUGGAAAGUUUCGGCGGUUGGGGAUGGACUCGCGGCUUAUCAGCUUGUUGGUGGGGUAGUGGCUUACCAAGGCUUUGACGGGUAGCCGGCCUGAGAGGGUGACCGGCCACAUUGGGACUGAGAUACGGCCCAGACUCCUACAGGAGGCAGCAGUGGGGAAUAUUGCACAAUGGGCGGAAGCCUGAUGCAGCAACGCCGCGUGCGGGAUGACGGCCUUCGGGUUGUAAACCGCUUUCGCCUGUGACGAAGCGUGAGUGACGGUAAUGGGUAAAGAAGCACCGACUAACUACGUG